AUACGGAGGGUGCAAGCGUUGUUCGGAAUCACUGGGCGUAAAGGGCGCGCAGGCGGUUUGGUAAGUCAGAUGUGAAAGCCCACGGCUCAACCGUGGAAGUGCAUUUGAAACUGCCAGACUUGAGUACCAGAGGGGAAAGUGGAAUUCCCGGUGUAUAGGUGAAAUUCGUUGAUAUCGGGAGGAAUACCGGUGGCGAAGGCGACUUUCUGGCUGGAUACUGACGCUGAGGCGCGAAAGCGUGGGGAGCAAACAGGAUUAGAAACCCUAGUAGUCC
Molecule: ribosomal RNA, 274 nt
Filed under: uncultured bacterium
Lineage: Bacteria
Description: partial 16S ribosomal RNA
Rfam family: Bacterial small subunit ribosomal RNA
Source: RNAcentral